RNAcentral lists this ribosomal RNA (497 nucleotides) under uncultured bacterium. RNAcentral describes it as "partial 16S ribosomal RNA". It matches the Rfam family "Bacterial small subunit ribosomal RNA", at positions 28 to 507 of the family's 1533-position model. The record is from RNAcentral.
GAUGAACGCUGGCGGCGUGCCUAAUACAUGCAAGUCGAGCGAACAGAUGAGGAGCUUGCUCCUCUGACGUUAGCGGCGGACGGGUGAGUAACACGUGGAUAACCUACCUAUAAGACUGGGAUAACUUCGGGAAACCGGAGCUAAUACCGGAUAAUAUAUUGAACCGCAUGGUUCAAUAGUGAAAGACGGUUUUGCUGUCACUUAUAGAUGGAUCCGCGCCGCAUUAGCUAGUUGGUAAGGUAACGGCUUACCAAGGCAACGAUGCGUAGCCGACCUGAGAGAGUGAUCGGCCACACUGGAACUGAGACACGGUCCAGACUCCUACGGGAGGCAGCAGUAGGGAAUCUUCCGCAGUGGGCGAAAGCUUGACGGAGCAACGCCGCGUGAGUGAUGAAGGUCUUCGGAUCGUAAAACUCUGUUAUUAGGGAAGAACAAAUGUGUAAGUAACUAUGCACGUCUUGACGGUACCUAAUCAGAAAGCCACGGCUAACUACGUG